Molecule: ribosomal RNA, 1241 nt
Filed under: Danuriini gen. sp. MN307
Lineage: Eukaryota; Metazoa; Arthropoda; Insecta; Mantodea; Mantidae
Description: SSU rRNA
Rfam family: Eukaryotic small subunit ribosomal RNA
Source: RNAcentral
GUGGCAAUUCUAGAGCUAAUACAUGCAAUUAAGUCCUGCCCGGCGACGGAACGGACGCUUUUAUUAGAUCAAAACCAAACGGUCUUUAGGCCGUUUGUCUUGGUGACUCUGAAUAAAGUAAGGCAGAUCGCAAGGUCACGAAUCGGUGACGCAUCUUUCGAAUGUCUGACUUAUCAACUAUCGAUGGUAGGUUAUAUGCCUACCAUGGUUKUAACGGGUAACGGGGAAUCAGGGUUCGAUUCCGGAGAGGGAGCCUGAGAAACGGCUACCACAUCCAAGGAAGGCAGCAGGCGCGCAAAUUACCCACUCCCGGCACAGGGAGGUAGUGACGAAAAAUAACGAUACGGGACUCAUCCGAGGCCCCGUAAUCGGAAUGACUACACUUUAAAUCCUUUAAGAAGUAUCCAUUGGAGGGCAAGUCUGGUGCCAGCAGCCGCGGUAAUUCCAGCUCCAAUAGCGUAUAUUAAAGUUGCUGCGGUUAAAAAGCUCGUAGUCUGAACUGUGUCCCACGCUGCCGGUUCACCGCCCGUCGGUGUAACUGGCAUGUACGUGCGGACGUCCUGCCGGUGGCCCGAGCCGGCGCGGGUCUUGCAUCCGCGUCCGGGGAAGGUCUAUUUACCCGUCGCGGUGCUCUUAACCGAGUGUCCCGGUGGGCCGGCACGUUUACUUUGAACAAAUUAGAGUGCUUAAAGCAGGCAGCAUCCGCCUGAAUACCAGUGCAUGGAAUAAUGGAAUAGGACCUCGGUUCUAUUUUGUUGGUUUUCGGAAUUUCCGAGGUAAUGAUCAAUAGAGACAGACGUGGGCAUUCGUAUUGCGACGUUAGAGGUGAAAUUCUUGGAUCGUCGCAAGACGGACCGAAGCGAAAGCAUUUGCCAAGCAUGUUCUCAUUGAUCAAGAACGAAAGUUAGAGGUUCGAAGGCGAUCAGAUACCGCCCUAGUUCUAACCAUAAACGAUGCCAGCCAGCAAUCCGCCGAAGUUCCUCCGAUGACUCGGCGGGCGGCUUCCGGGAAACCAAAGCUUUUGGGUUCCGGGGGAAGUAUGGUUGCAAAGCUGAAACUUAAAGGAAUUGACGGAAGGGCACCACCAGGAGUGGAGCCUGCGGCUUAAUUUGACUCAACACGGGAAACCUCACCAGGCCCAGACACUGGGAGGAUUGACAGAUUAAGAGCUCUUUCUUGAUUCAGUGGGUGGUGGUGCAUGGCCGUUCUUAGUUGGUGGAGCGAUUUGUCUGGUUAAUUCC